Molecule: ribosomal RNA, 253 nt
Filed under: uncultured bacterium
Lineage: Bacteria
Description: partial 16S ribosomal RNA
Rfam family: Bacterial small subunit ribosomal RNA
Source: RNAcentral
UACGAAGGGGGCGAGCGUUGUUCGGAUUUACUGGGCGUAAAGGGCGCGUAGGCGGCCUUGUCAGUCAGGCGUGAAAGCCCCGGGCUCAACCUGGGAACGGCGCUUGGGACGGCGAGGCUGGAGUUCGGGAGAGGAGAGUGGAAUUCCCAGUGUAGAGGUGAAAUUCGUAGAUAUUGGGAAGAACACCGGUGGCGAAGGCGGCGACCUGGGUAGAUACUGACGCUGAGGUGCGAAAGCGUGGGGAGCAAACAGG